GACGAACGCUGGCGGCGGGCUUAACACAUGCAAGUCGAACGGAAAGGCCCUGCUUUUGUGGGGUGCUCGAGUGGCGAACGGGUGAGUAACACGGGAGUAACCUGCCCUUGACGUUGGGAUGACUUCAGGAAACUGGUGCUAAUACCUGAUAGGAGCUCCUGCUGCAUGGUGGGGGUUGGAAAGUUUCGGCGGUUGGGGAUGGACUCGCGGCUUAUCAGCUUGUGGGUGGGGUAGUGGCUUACCAAGGCUUUGACGGGUAGCCGGCAUGAGAGGGUGACCGGCCACAUUGGGACUGAGAUACGGCCCAGAGUCCUACGGGAGGCAGCAGGGGGGAAUAUUGCACAAUGGGCGGAAGCCUGAUGCAGAAACGCCGCGUGCGGGAUGACGGCCUUCGGGUUGUAAACCGCUUUCGGCUGUGACGAAGCGUGAGUGACGGUAAUGGGUAAAGAAGCACCGGCUAACUACGUG
Molecule: ribosomal RNA, 468 nt
Filed under: uncultured bacterium
Lineage: Bacteria
Description: partial 16S ribosomal RNA
Rfam family: Bacterial small subunit ribosomal RNA
Source: RNAcentral